UUUUUUCGUGAUGCUAAGUUACAAGAAUUUGUUUAUUGUUCGGCGGCGAUCUCCUAAGCACUGUUUGCAUCAUACUUUUUUUUUUCGUUUUUCCUUUUUGCGUGUGUGCGCUUUAUAUUAACGUAUAUUUGUGUUAUGAGAGGAGAUGAACACUUUCAUUAGAACAAAACCAAUCGGACCUGGUAUCCGUGGUGACUUCGUGUAACUUCGGGCUAAUCGCACAGCCUCAUCCCGAUGACGAACCUUUCAAGAAUCUUCCUUAUCAGCUACUAUGGUAGAUCACGAGUCUACAACUGUCCUAACGGAUGACGGGGAAUCAGAAUUCGAUUUCGGAAAGAAAGCCUGAAAAAUGGCUACCUCAACCAAGGGAGGCAGCACGCGCGCAAAUUACCCAUACCCAGGACAAGCAGCCACUGACGAAAAAUAACACUAUGGAACUCCUUUGAGACCCUGUAACUGGAAAGAAUACUCUAAAUCCUUUAAUGAGAAUCAGCUGGUGGCCAAGUCUGGUGCCAGCUGCCACAGUAAAUCCCGCUCCAAUA
RNAcentral lists this non-coding RNA (542 nucleotides) under Stegodyphus mimosarum. RNAcentral describes it as "Eukaryotic small subunit ribosomal RNA". It matches the Rfam family "Eukaryotic small subunit ribosomal RNA", at positions 117 to 596 of the family's 1831-position model. The record is from Rfam by way of RNAcentral. Lineage: Eukaryota; Metazoa; Arthropoda; Arachnida; Araneae; Eresidae.